CCCUACGGGGUGCCUGUUGAAGGGGAUUUUGCCCGACCUGGCGGUCAAUAACGGCUUACCGAUCGACGGGCUGUCGCGAGAUGCUGCCAGCAACCAGGCUUAUAUGGCGGAUCCACUGGUGCACCCCAAAGCCAGCGUGCGGUUGGCGGCGUUUAUGAUCGAGGCGGCGGAAGAUGUGAUGAAUCGAGCCGACGAGUGGAGUGUGCCGCUUUACCUCGCGCACGGCAGCUCCGAUCCCAUCUGCCCGGUUGCCGGCUCGGAUCAGUUCGCGCGCGAGCUGGGCGAAAAGGUGAGCUACAAACGCUGGGAAGGCUUUUACCACGAAACGCACAACGAGCCCGAGAAGGAAACGGUCAUCGCGGCGAUGACGGACUGGAUCGAAAGCCAGCUAAGCUAACAUUUCCACUUAACUUUGGCGGGAGAGC
This 425-nucleotide ribosomal RNA is filed under the name uncultured prokaryote. Its description in RNAcentral is "partial 16S ribosomal RNA". The record is from RNAcentral.